Long non-coding RNA from Dipodomys ordii (Ord's kangaroo rat), 938 nucleotides. RefSeq lists it as uncharacterized. Lineage: Eukaryota; Metazoa; Chordata; Mammalia; Rodentia; Heteromyidae. The transcript has 2 exons. The record is from RefSeq and is a predicted model, not a curated record.
GUGUGUGUGUGUGUGUGUGUGUGUGUGUGUGUGUGUGUGUGUGUGUGUGUAAUGUGUGUGUGCGCGCAUAUGUUUCUCUGUGUGAAUGUUUGAGUGAGUACAUGUGGUAGGGGAGGAGCCAGGGAGACUCAGGAGUGCCACGUACCUGCUCUAGAGGCAGCUGUCCCAGUCAGUCCCUGCUGAGGAAGUGAGGGACAGGGCCCUCUCCUGGGGGCCAUUGGUGCUAAUGGGGGGACGGCCUUGGUGUGGGUGCUUAGCAUGCCUCCCCCAGUGUUGGCCCGGGGCACUAGGGCAGGCAGGGUGAGGCAGCAGGUGCAGUAUUGGUGGGAGGAAGGAUUGCUGGGAAUAGGUUGAGGGAGCCAGGCCAGGACAAGGGGGUGCCAGAGCCAUGACCACUACCCUACCCCCACCCGCCUCACCUCUCCAUCUCAGUAUUUCCCCUCCCAUCACUUAUAACACACAUACCUCAUCCAGCCUCCUCCCUGCUCAGACUUGGGGAGGGUGGGGGAGGAGGAGCCCCUGCCCCUUCCUGGGGGGGGUGGGUCUGCAGGGCUGGGAGAGGGCAGGGCGCGUGACACAGACACCGUCCAUAAGGGGGACAGUACUUGCUGCCCUGGGAACUCCUGGGUGGGGGAGGGAGACACUGCCCAGAGGCGCUACUGAAUGUAUGAGAAGCUGGUGCUGGGGUGGGGGGAGGGAGGGUUGUGGCCAGAAACAGGGAAGGAGGUAGGUCCCUUCCCCAGGGAGGGGUGGGACCGGUAGGGGUGACUUGCAGGGGCUCCUACUCCUGCCCCACGUUGACAAUCAGUAUGUCUGUUAUGUGCGAUUUUUCACCCCGUUGUGUUUUGGGUCAGGAUUUUAAAGAAAGAUAUUUUUAUGGUAAUUGUUGCUCGUCUAUUUUACUAUAUAUUUAUGUAAUAAAUAUAUGAUGAAAAUAA